Molecule: ribosomal RNA, 859 nt
Filed under: uncultured bacterium
Lineage: Bacteria
Description: bacterial SSU rRNA
Rfam family: Bacterial small subunit ribosomal RNA
Source: RNAcentral
AGAGUUUGAUCCUGGCUCAGGAUGAACGCUGGCGGUAUGCCUUAUACAUGCAAGUCGUACGAGAGUUUUUAACUCUGGUGGCGGACGGGUGAGUAACACGUAAGAAUUUGCCUUUAGGAGGGGGACAACAACUGGAAACGGUUGCUAAUACCCCAUAUGCUUUCGAGUGAAAUGGAUUUCCGCCUAAAGAGAAGCUUGCGGCUGAUUAGCUUGUUGGUAGGGUAAUGGCCUACCAAGGCGACGAUCAGUAUCUGGUUUGAGAGGACGAUCAGACACACUGGAACUGAGACACGGUCCAGACUCCUACGGGAGGCAGCAGUAGGGAAUUUUCCGCAAUGGGCGAAAGCCUGACGGAGCAAUACCGCGUGAGGGAUGACUGCCUAUGGGUUGUAAACCUCUUUUUUCAGGGAGGAAUAAAUGACGUGUACCUGAAGAAUAAGCAUCGGCUAACUCCGUGCCAGCAGCCGCGGUAAGACGGAGGAUGCAAGUGUUAUCCGGAAUCACUGGGCGUAAAGCGUCUGUAGGUGGCUCGACAAGUCAACUGUUAAAUCUUGAAGCUCAACUUCGAAAUCGCAGUCGAAACUAUCGAACUAGAGUAUAGUAGAGGUAAAGGGAAUUUCCAGUGGAGCGGUGAAAUGCGUAGAGAUUGGAAAGAACACCGAUGGCGGAGGCACUUUACUGGGCUAUUACUGACACUCAGAGACGAAAGCUAGGGUAGCAAAUGGGAUUAGAUACCCCAGUAGUCCUAGCCGUAAACAAUGGAUACUAGGUGUUGAACAGAUCGACCUGUGCAGUACCAAAGCUAACGCGUUAAGUAUCCCGCCUGGGAAGUAUGCACGCAAGUGUGAAACUCAAAGGA